GCUGGCGGCAUGCCUAAUACAUGCAAGUCGAGCGAACAGAUGAAGUGCUUGCACUUCUGACGUUAGCGGCGAACGGGUGAGUAACACGUAAGGAAUCUACCUAUAAGCGGGGGAUAACAUUCGGAAACGGGUGCUAAUACCGCAUAAUAUCUUCUUCCGCAUGGAAGAAGAUUGAAAGACGGCUCUGCUGUCACUUAUAGAUGACCUUGCGGUGCAUUAGUUAGUUGGUGGGGUAACGGCCUACCAAGACGAUGAUGCAUAGCCGACCUGAGAGGGUGAUCGGCCACAUUGGGACUGAGACACGGCCCAAACUCCUACGGGAGGCAGCAGUAGGGAAUCUUCCGCAAUGGGCGAAAGCCUGACGGAGCAAUGCCGCGUGAGUGAAGAAGGCCUUCGGGUCGUAAAACUCUGUUAUAAGAGAAGAACAAAUUGUAGAGUAACUGCUACAGUCUUGACGGUAUCUUAUCAGAAAGCCACGGCUAACUACGUGCCAGCAGCCGCGGUAAUACGUAGGUGGCAAGCGUUGUCCGGAUUUAUUGGGCGUAAAGGGAGCGCAGGUGGUUUCUUAAGUCUGAUGUGAAAGCCCACGGCUUAACCGUGGAGGGUCAUUGGAAACUGGGAAACUUGAGUACAGAAGAGGAAUGUGGAGCUCCAUGUGUAGCGGUGGAAUGCGUAGAUAUAUGGAAGAACACCAGUGGCGAAGGCGACAUUCUGGUCUGUUACUGACACUGAGGCUCGAAAGC
RNAcentral lists this ribosomal RNA (743 nucleotides) under uncultured bacterium. RNAcentral's name for it is "bacterial SSU rRNA". It matches the Rfam family "Bacterial small subunit ribosomal RNA", at positions 35 to 760 of the family's 1533-position model. The record is from RNAcentral.